CGAGCACGCGCGUGUGGCAUAUCAAUAAGCGGAGGAAAAGAAACUAACAAGGAUUCCCUUAGUAACGGCGAGUGAAGCGGGAAGAGCUCAAAUUUGAAAUCUUCAAGGUUCUACCUUGACGAAUUGUAGUUUAUAGGAGUGUUUUCUGUUAGUGGAGUGGCAAAAGUUCUUUGGAAUAGGACAUCAUAGAGGGUGAGAAUCCCGUAUUUGGUCAUUCCUCCUAGCGUUGUGAUACACUUUCAACGAGUCGGAUUGUUUGGGAAUGCAGUCCAAAAUGGGUGGUAAAUUUCAUCUAAAGCUAAAUAUUGGCGAGAGACCGAUAGCGAACAAGUACCGUGAGGGAAAGAUGAAAAGAACUUUGAAAAGAGAGUUAAACAGUACGUGAAAUUGUCAAAAGGGAAGCGUUUGACACCAGUGUUGUUUUUCCGAAAAUCAAUUACGAAUGUUUUGUUUUUGAGGAGUUAUGACUUCAUCGGCUUGCUUCUUUCUUUAUGAAACUUUCUUAAUGCACUUUUCGGUUAACAAGUCAACAUCAAUUUCUUUUGUUGUAAAAGGGUAUGAGGAAGGUGGCUUUCUUUUCGGAGAAAGUGUUUAUAGCCUUGUGCCUCUGCAAUCGGAGAGAUUGAGGUCUGCAGCGUAGAUCCUUCGGGGUUAGAUACGUUUGUGCUAAGUUAUAGCUUUUCAUAGACAACUUGUUGACUAUGUUUAGUCUUGUAGCUUACUCGCUGACGCUAUUUUACCUACGCUUAGGAUGUUGAGUAGCGACAUACGCAC
This 774-nucleotide ribosomal RNA is filed under the name uncultured Neocallimastigales. RNAcentral's name for it is "partial large subunit ribosomal RNA". It matches the Rfam family "Eukaryotic large subunit ribosomal RNA", at positions 19 to 649 of the family's 3401-position model. The record is from RNAcentral. Lineage: Eukaryota; Fungi; Neocallimastigomycota; Neocallimastigomycetes; Neocallimastigales.